This 337-nucleotide ribosomal RNA is filed under the name Waldo digitatus. Its description in RNAcentral is "Waldo sp. 1 PD-2012 partial 16S ribosomal RNA". It matches the Rfam family "Bacterial large subunit ribosomal RNA", at positions 1922 to 2515 of the family's 2925-position model. The record is from RNAcentral. Lineage: Eukaryota; Metazoa; Mollusca; Bivalvia; Galeommatida; Lasaeidae.
UUUUAACGGCCGCAGUUAGGAGCUGUGCUAAGGUAGCGUAAUAAAUUGUCCUUUAAAUGAGGAAAUGAAUGAAUGGUUUGACGUAAAAAAUUCUGUCUCCAAAGAAAUUUAGGAAAUUUUUUUCUUAGUGAAAAAUCUAAGAUUUUAUUAAAAGACGAGAAGACCCUUUUGAGCUUGAAUUAUUAAUAUAGUUUAAUAUUAAAAAAGUUUGGUUGGGACAACCUGGGAGUAUAAAUAGCCUCCUUUGAGUAAUAAAAAUCCAAAAAUUUUGAAAAAAGAAAAAGUUACCGCAGGGAUAACAGCGUUAUCUUCUCUGAGAGAACAAAUUGAAGAGAAG